This 542-nucleotide ribosomal RNA is filed under the name uncultured Bacteroidota bacterium. Its description in RNAcentral is "bacterial SSU rRNA". It matches the Rfam family "Bacterial small subunit ribosomal RNA", at positions 38 to 573 of the family's 1533-position model. Lineage: Bacteria; Pseudomonadati; Bacteroidota. The record is from RNAcentral.
ANCGGCAGGCUUAAUACAUGCAAGUCGUGGGGCAGCAUGGUGUAGCAAUACACUGAUGGUGACCGGCAAACGGGUGCGGAACACGUACGCAACCUUCCUUUAACUGGAGAAUAGCCCGGGGAAACCCGGAUUAAUACUCCGUAACAUUAUGAAGUGGCAUCACUUUAUAAUUAUAGCUCCGGCGGUUAAAGAUGGGCGUGCGCCUGAUUAGGUAGUUGGCGGGGUAACGGCCCACCAAGCCUACGAUCAGUAACUGGUGUGAGAGCACGACCAGUCACACGGGCACUGAGACACGGGCCCGACUCCUACGGGAGGCAGCAGUAAGGAAUAUUGGUCAAUGGACGCAAGUCUGAACCAGCCAUGCCGCGUGGAGGAUGAAGGUCCUCUGGAUUGUAAACUUCUUUUAUUUGGGAAGAAACCCACGAUUUCUAUUGUGGUUGACGGUACCAGAUGAAUAAGCACCGGCUAACUCCGUGCCAGCAGCCGCGGUAAUACGGAGGGUGCAAGCGUUAUCCGGAUUCACUGGGUUUAAAGGGUGCGUA